Long non-coding RNA from Sinocyclocheilus anshuiensis, 364 nucleotides. RefSeq lists it as uncharacterized. The record is from RefSeq and is a predicted model, not a curated record. The transcript is spliced from 3 exons. NCBI's taxonomy places the organism in Eukaryota, Metazoa, Chordata, Actinopteri, Cypriniformes, Cyprinidae.
AUGUUUUUAACGGUGAUCUCCAGGUAUCCAUACAAAGCUCCUUACUAAAAAAGAAAGGAACAUAUGAUCAGGAUUACGGAUGACACUGUUCACAUUUUGUUUGUCGGACUAUAUAUGUCUUAAGGACAAUUAACCAUCUCCGUAUCCAUACGAUGAACCGUCAACAUGAAAAGUAAGUCUGGCUGUUUUAUACUUACAACUAUUACAACUGAAACAUACUGUAUCUAACCACUGCACUGAAAGCUACGCAUUCAGUAAAGUUUGAGGAUGUUCCACGCUCUUGAACAGCUAUAGAUACAUUUCAAUCAUAAUCUUUAAACAGGAUUUAUGCGUGCACAAAACCCUUAUGUAACUCAAGGGACCA